This 440-nucleotide ribosomal RNA is filed under the name uncultured bacterium. RNAcentral's name for it is "partial 16S ribosomal RNA". It matches the Rfam family "Bacterial small subunit ribosomal RNA", at positions 338 to 795 of the family's 1533-position model. The record is from RNAcentral.
CCUACGGGGGGCAGCAGUGGGGAAUAUUGCACAAUGGGGGAAACCCUGAUGCAGCGACGCCGCGUGAGUGAAGAAGGAUUUCGGUACGUAAAGCUCUAUCAGCAGGGAAGAAAAGGACGGUACCUGACUAAGAAGCCCCGGCUAACUACGUGCCAGCAGCCGCGGUAAUACGUAGGGGGCAAGCGUUAUCCGGAUUUACUGGGGGUAAAGGGAGCGUAGCCGGCAGCGCAAGUCUGGAGUGAACUCCCAUGGCUUAACCAUGGAACUGCUUUGGAAACUGUGCAGCUAGAGUGCAGGAGAGGUCAGCUGCAUUCCUAGUGUAGCGGUGAAAUGCGUAGAUAUUAGGAGGAACACCAGUGGCGAAGGCGGCUUACUGGACUGUACCUGCCGUUGAGGCUCGACAGCGUGGGGAGCACACAGGAUUAGAUACCCGGGUAGUC